Non-coding RNA from Rhodocollybia butyracea, 95 nucleotides. NCBI's taxonomy places the organism in Eukaryota, Fungi, Basidiomycota, Agaricomycetes, Agaricales, Omphalotaceae. The record is from the annotation of a GenBank genome assembly.
GGCCUGAUGGUCUAGGAGUAUGAUUCGUUGUUAGGGUUAAUCACAUCGUUAAUAUUCUUUCGACGAGGUCCCGGGUUCAAUUCCCGGUCAGGCCC